This 253-nucleotide ribosomal RNA is filed under the name uncultured bacterium. Its description in RNAcentral is "partial 16S ribosomal RNA". It matches the Rfam family "Bacterial small subunit ribosomal RNA", at positions 524 to 776 of the family's 1533-position model. The record is from RNAcentral.
UACAGAGGGUGCAAGCGUUACUCGGAAUUACUGGGCGUAAAGCGUGCGUAGACGGUCAUGUAAGUCGGGUGUGAAAGCCCCGGGCUCAACCUGGGAAUUGCAUUCGAGACUGCAUGGCUAGGAUGCGGAAGAGGGAAGCGGAAUUUCCGGUGUAGCGGUGAAAUGCGUAGAUAUCAGGAGGAACACCGGUGGUGUAGACGGCUUUCUGGACCGUAACUGACGCUGAGACACGAAAGCGUGGGUAGCAAACAGG